This 73-nucleotide transfer RNA is filed under the name Hordeum vulgare. RNAcentral describes it as "tRNA-OTHER". Lineage: Eukaryota; Viridiplantae; Streptophyta; Magnoliopsida; Poales; Poaceae. The record is from RNAcentral.
GAGAGACUAGCACAAUGGCCUGUGCGCUGGGGUAUCGACCAACAGGUCGUGGGUUCGAAUCCCUCACCCCUUU